Setaria italica (foxtail millet) is the source of this 2168-nucleotide long non-coding RNA. RefSeq lists it as uncharacterized. The record is from RefSeq and is a predicted model, not a curated record. Lineage: Eukaryota; Viridiplantae; Streptophyta; Magnoliopsida; Poales; Poaceae. The transcript is spliced from 2 exons.
UGAUUGGCCAGUACAUCCCAUGCUGGCUUCCUCCGGUGAAUCAACCUUCCUCUCUGCUUCCUACUCAUAUAGUAUGAUGCUGGGUCUACCGUCUCCUACAUAACAGCCACAAAGUUCCUCUCGGCCAUGAACAAGGAGGCACGCGCCGCCUAGGUAGUUUGUGGUUAUAUAAGGAGCUAGUUGAGGGAUCAAGAGAGCAAAUGGCAGCAGGAGAUUGGAGAGAGACAGUGGGUGCGUAGCCUCAACUACUCUUCAAGUCCAUGCCAUGCCUUUCCACAGCUUUCUUGAACUUCUCUCUCUCUCUCUCUCUCUCUCUCUCUCUCUCUCUCUCACACACACACACACACACACACACACACACUCACACACACACACACACACACACACACAGUCAAUUGCGCGUGCAAGUUGGGACAAGUUGUAGAAGAAGGUCAAGAAAGCUGUGGGAAGAAAUGGCAUAACAAGGACUCUGAAUUAUUUUAGCAAUUACAAUGAUGAGAUGUGAUGCUAAAUUGCUAAUUCCCCAUCAGCAUGUAAGUUACUCAUCUGAAUCCCUCAUGCUUUUACUGCUUCAAUUAAUAGAUGUCAGUGUAUCACUAGCUACUCGUGCAACUUGCAGCUUUGAUACCGUCGAGUAAUGCAGGCCAGUUUUGCUUUCGCCUUCUGCUUCUAUGAUCUAUGCUCCCUUCUUGAUCUUAUUAUCCUUUUUUUCAGAUGUGAUUGCUAAAUGAGCCAGCUUCUAUUGUUCGGAAAAAAAAAUAAGCUAGCUUCUUAACUGUAAAUACGGAGCUAGCUAGUCGAGUUCGCGCAUAUGCAUUGAAGACCACUCAUGGAUUGCUUCUAUAACGUUUAGCUUUCAAUUUUUUUCAUUGCGCCCCUUGAAAAGGUUAGCCCUGUAUACAAAUACAAGUGAGACUUAUAGCUUCCUCAAGAUUUCUUGCAAACCUGAUUUGCCACUGCUAAUGCCCAGGCUCAUAAAAUAUAUAGGACAUGACUAUUUCUAGCCCCUUACCCUUCUCUAUACCGAAAGAAGUUCAUGAUCUUUUCCCCAUUUUUUCUUUAUUUUCUCUGGUUACAUAAAAAGCAAGUUUUGCAGAGAGUAUAAAAUGUAGCCGCAUGGUUUAUUUGAGUCUUGAGUUGAUAGUAAAUUUCCUUAUAUUUUCACAGCUGCUCAUUGAACUUCUCAGCAUAACAAAUUUCUAUAUAUUUCUGUUUUUAGGAAUAAUGUUUCUUAUCAUCUCCCAAUGCUGACAUAGCACUAGUGUCACCAUUUUUCGGCUAUUAAUUUAACAUAUCCGUUCCGCAUGUCUUAAUUUGCACAGUACUGUUUAAAAUAGCCAGAUUUUUCGUGAGCUAUGUUAAUAAACUAUUUCUCCUUUAUACAUCAGCCAUAGCCUGUUUAAAAUAGAGUUCCAUAGUAUGCUGUAAGCUAACUUUUGCUUUACGCCUUUACCCCACAAGCAGUGACAGAAGGAGAAAACAGCUUUCCCUUCCCCUGGCUCACUGACUCACUCCAUCUCUCUUCACACUCACCGUACUAGCCACCCACUCAAAAUUCAGAAAGCUCUAUGCUCCAUCCAUGAUCCAUCCAUCCAUCACGACAAAUACAAGGUCGGCACAAGCCAACAAAGCAGGGCCACUGACAGGUGGACCCCUCGCCGAUACCAGACCCACAUGUAGUGCCAGCAGCUCAUGCAGUGACGGCGGGUAGGCUGUCAGUCAGAGGCCAGACGAUUUAUUACCUCCCUCAGUCCCUCUUGGCUCUUGCUCUGGGCGGCUGGGCCUCAGAUCUCACUCGCCUUCUCGCUCAUGUCAUGGAUGCAUGGGAGAGGGAAGCCCAUCUGCCCAGGAAUGGAUUUCACUGCAAGCAAAGUGUCAAAGUUGGGAGUUGGGAGUAACUAAACAUGGCCGUAGAAGGGAUGGGUCGCUGCAGCAGCAAGGAAUCCAGUAAAAAUUCUCUGGACUCGACUCUGGAGUCUGGAAUCUGAAGCCUGCAGCUGCAGGCAUGGGCGGCAGAAGGAACAUCAUGCCUUCCACGACCCAAAUUGCAUUCCACUGCUUUCUGUUCUUUACACAGGUUAUUGAAAAAGUUUCUGGCUGUGAUAGCAUAGAUGCACAGUGUGUAAAUUUGCUCACGGUUGCUAUAAAGUAUUACUGGUACUACGCAA